GAUGAACGCUGGCGGCGUGCCUAAUACAUGCAAGUCGAGCGAACGGACGAGAAGCUUGCUUCUCUGAUGUUAGCGGCGGACGGGUGAGUAACACGUGGAUAACCUACCUAUAAGACUGGGAUAACUUCGGGAAACCGUAGCUAAUACCGGAUAAUAUUUUGAACCGCAUGGUUCAAAAGUGAAAGACGGUCUUGCUGUCACUUAUAGAUGGAUCCGCGCUGCAUUAGCUAGUUGGUAAGGUAACGGCUUACCAAGGCAACGAUGCAUAGCCGACCUGAGAGGGGGAGCGGGCACACUGGAACUGAGACACGGUCCAGACUCCUACGGGAGGCAGCAGUAGGGAAUCUUCCGCAAUGGGCGAAAGCCUGACGGAGCAACGCAGCGUGAGUGAUGAAGGUCUUCGGAUCGUAAAACUCUGUUAUUAGGGAAGAACAUAUGUGUAAGUAACUGUGCACAUCUUGACGGUACCUAAUCAGAAAGCCACGGCUAACUACGUG
RNAcentral lists this ribosomal RNA (497 nucleotides) under uncultured bacterium. RNAcentral's name for it is "partial 16S ribosomal RNA". It matches the Rfam family "Bacterial small subunit ribosomal RNA", at positions 28 to 507 of the family's 1533-position model. The record is from RNAcentral.